AACAAGGAAAUAGAAGAGAAGACUCUUGAAAUAAGACAGCUCAAUGGAGAAGAUCUACAAGGGCUGUCUGUAAAAGAUCUGAGGAAGCUAGAAGAUUUACUUAGCACAAGCUUGCAUCGUGUUUCAAAAGCAAAGGUCGAAGUAUUUGAGCAGGAGAUCAAUGUUCUAAAGAAAAAGGUUAGCGUUAUGUUUGUUUAUCAAAAGAAUCC
Long non-coding RNA from Neltuma alba, 209 nucleotides. RefSeq lists it as uncharacterized. NCBI's taxonomy places the organism in Eukaryota, Viridiplantae, Streptophyta, Magnoliopsida, Fabales, Fabaceae. The transcript is spliced from 3 exons. The record is from RefSeq and is a predicted model, not a curated record.